RNAcentral lists this transfer RNA (88 nucleotides) under bacterium. RNAcentral's name for it is "tRNA-Ser". It matches the Rfam family "tRNA". From Rfam's summary of the family: Transfer RNA (tRNA) molecules are approximately 80 nucleotides in length. Their secondary structure includes four short double-helical elements and three loops (D, anti-codon, and T loops). The record is from RNAcentral.
GGAGGGGUGGCCGAGCGGUUUAAGGCGACGGUCUUGAAAACCGUUGAUGUGAAAGCAUCCCAGGGUUCGAAUCCCUGCCCCUCCGCCA